AUGGAAGGAAAGGAUUUGAGUAUAUCUCAUGUCAAAGUGAUGAAAAAUGUUGUGUGUUUGCAUAAGUCGAGUUCUGAUGAUACCUUUCAGAAACUAUCAUCUCUUAUUUCUUCCAAUGGCCACUCUACAACUGGUGAAAUUACUUACAUUUAUUUGCUAGUAAAGUCAUUUGGGUCAACUACGACCUUAGAGAUGGACUCGGAUUAUCCUUCUUGCACCAUGGAUUAUCGAUCCCACCACUAG
Vicia faba (fava bean) is the source of this 243-nucleotide non-coding RNA. NCBI's taxonomy places the organism in Eukaryota, Viridiplantae, Streptophyta, Magnoliopsida, Fabales, Fabaceae. The record is from the annotation of a GenBank genome assembly.